AAGUCGUAACAAGGUUUCCGUAGGUGAACCUGCGGUUGGAUCAUUACAGAAAAUGUUUUUCACAAAACAUACACAUUGCGCACUGUAUUUGUCUCUGGCGGCGGGACAGCUAUGGAUUACAACUGUAGUUGUCUGUCAGUCAUAGUGUAAAAGCUAUGACCGUGGACAAACCGCCAAAAUCAUAACAACUUGUAAUUUUGUGAUUCUGUCUAAUGAAGUUAUUCGUAUAUAUAAUUAUACAAACAACUUUUGGCAACGGAUCUCUUGGCUCUC
Molecule: unclassified non-coding RNA, 273 nt
Filed under: Spizellomyces sp.
Lineage: Eukaryota; Fungi; Chytridiomycota; Chytridiomycetes; Spizellomycetales; Spizellomycetaceae
Description: partial internal transcribed spacer region
Rfam family: Eukaryotic small subunit ribosomal RNA (bases 1-46)
Source: RNAcentral